CUCAAUAUCAUGUUUUCCAAAUGGUGCCAAUUUCUGGAAAACCCUAUGGCGCCAUUUGCAUCAUAUGCCCAUUUACUUCAUUAAUGAAAGUGCAUGCUUACUUGAAUAAAAGAGUCAUGCUUACUUAGAUGAUGCUAUGUGGUCAUUUAAGAGCUCAUUAACCAAGACUAAGGUCCAACUAUCAACUACUUCAUUAAAUGGAUCACCUCUUUUCCCUUGCUAUUUAAAAGAACAAAGUUCGCAUCAAAUUACUUUUGAUAGUUAGAUAAAAAUCAUUAUGUUUUCAAACUUUGUAACAUAAGGAUCUAGAUGUCGAGUUUGGAGAACUUUGCCAUGUUUGCAAAUGAUCAAGAUGUUGUUGAUGUGUUAAUCCACUUGAAAGGUUUUUUGUUUUUAAAUUUUGUUUCGAUUUCGUAUUCUUAAAGGAUUUUCCGCUUAUUUUUUUGCUAUGGUUGUUGUACAGUUCUUCUUUUUUCGCAUCUAUUUUGUAAAACUCUAUACUUACAUUGUUCAUCUUAUACUACCAGUUUAGAAUAAUUCAAAUGGGGUUGUGUGCAAGACUGUUAGAAGUGGUUUGUUGGAAUUAAGGACAUUGCACAUGGAAUUUGACAUCAGCAUUGGAUGUAUAUUUCAAGCUUUCAAAUUUAUAUCUUCAUAAAAUGCAACUAUUCAUUAUUUAUAUGAAUACUAGACUUUUGAUACAUUAUGUUUUGAUAUUUUGAUACAAUGUAGAGUUUUGAUUCAUUCUGUGUUCAAAUUCCU
This 762-nucleotide long non-coding RNA is filed under the name Medicago truncatula (barrel medic). RNAcentral's name for it is "lncRNA gene11241". Lineage: Eukaryota; Viridiplantae; Streptophyta; Magnoliopsida; Fabales; Fabaceae. The record is from RNAcentral.